GGUUGAUCCUGCCAGUAGUCAUAUGCUUGUCCCAAAGAUUAAGCCAUGCAAGUGCAAGUACAAGCUGAUGUACGGUGAAACUGCGAAAGGCUCAAUAGAUCAGUGAGAAUUGGAUUGAGGAUGGAAAUACUAGAUGGAUAACCGUGGUAAUUCUAGAGCUAAUACAUGGGGAGGGGGCGACUCGCUUUCGGGGGGGAAGCCCGGCAUUUAUUAGAUAGCACCGGAGCACAUGUAAGAGUGUGUGGGGAGGAUUCAUGAUAAUUGGCGGAUCGUAUGGCGUGAGCUGACGACGG
Molecule: ribosomal RNA, 293 nt
Filed under: uncultured eukaryote
Lineage: Eukaryota
Description: partial 18S ribosomal RNA
Rfam family: Eukaryotic small subunit ribosomal RNA
Source: RNAcentral